ACGGAUUUGGCGGCAAGAUAGCCCCUUAGAGGAACCUGCCCUAUAAACGAUGAACCACGAAGAGACGUUACUUUUUUUUGAAAUCAGUUUGUAUAUCGCUGUUGUCAGUUAGAUUCCGAAGAAUAUUUUCAUUUAUGAAAAGGUCAUUGACUUCAAGUAAAGGUGCAGCUUAUAGAAAAGAAAGAGGUGGGUUACAUUUAAAAGAAUAAUACGGAUAAGAUGAAUGAAGGAAUCUUUGAAGGUGGAUUUAACUGUAAAAUUUAAUAAAAUUUGGUGAGAGCUCUAUCUUGUGUACACACC
RNAcentral lists this ribosomal RNA (300 nucleotides) under Tetraclita achituvi. RNAcentral describes it as "partial 12S ribosomal RNA". Lineage: Eukaryota; Metazoa; Arthropoda; Thecostraca; Balanomorpha; Tetraclitidae. The record is from RNAcentral.